UAACGUGAUUAGAAGUUACAGUUGGUCCUA
Molecule: non-coding RNA, 30 nt
Filed under: Homo sapiens (human)
Lineage: Eukaryota; Metazoa; Chordata; Mammalia; Primates; Hominidae
Source: RNAcentral